GACGAACGCUGGCGGCGUGCCUAAUACAUGCAAGUCGAGCGGGCCAGAACAAAGGGCAACCAGAGUUCUGGUUUAGCGGCGCACGGGUGAGUAACGCGUAGGUAUUCUACUCUGAAGACCGGGAUAACACCUCGAAGGGGGUGCUAAUACUGGAUACGCUCUUUCUCUCAACGGAGGGGAAGAGGAAAGGUGGCGUAAGGCGCAAGCCUGCUACCACUUCGGAAUGAGCCUGCGUCCUAUUAGCUAGUUGGUAGGGUAAUUGCCUACCAAGGCUAUGAUGGGUAGCUGGUCUGAGAGGACGGUCAGCCACACUGGGACUGGGACACGGCCCAGACUCCUACGGGAGGCAGCAUG
RNAcentral lists this ribosomal RNA (354 nucleotides) under uncultured bacterium. RNAcentral's name for it is "bacterial SSU rRNA". It matches the Rfam family "Bacterial small subunit ribosomal RNA", at positions 28 to 354 of the family's 1533-position model. The record is from RNAcentral.